GAUGAACGCUGGCGGCGUGCCUAAUACAUGCAAGUCGAGCGAACAGACGAGGAGCUUGCUCCUCUGACGUUAGCGGCGGACGGGUGAGUAACACGUGGAUAACCUACCUAUAAGACUGGGAUAACUUCGGGAAACCGGAGCUAAUACCGGAUAAUAUAUUGAACCGCAUGGGUCAAUAGUGAAAGACGGUUUUGCUGUCACUUAUAGAUGGAUCCGCGCCGCAUUAGCUAGUUGGUAAGGUAACGGCUUACCAAGGCAACGAUGCGUAUCCGACCUGAGAGGGUGAUCGGCCACACUGGAACGUGGCCACCGUCCAGACUCCUACGGGAGGCAGCAGUAGGGAAUCUUCCGCAAUGGUCGAAAGCCUGACGGAGCAGCGCCGCGUGAGUGAUGAAGGUCUUCGGAUCGUAAAACUCUGUUAUUAGGGAAGAACAAAUGUGUAAGUAACUAUGCACGUCUUGACGGUACCUAGUCAGAAAGCCACGGCUAACUACGUG
RNAcentral lists this ribosomal RNA (497 nucleotides) under uncultured bacterium. RNAcentral's name for it is "partial 16S ribosomal RNA". It matches the Rfam family "Bacterial small subunit ribosomal RNA", at positions 28 to 507 of the family's 1533-position model. The record is from RNAcentral.